Molecule: small RNA, 541 nt
Filed under: Pan troglodytes (chimpanzee)
Lineage: Eukaryota; Metazoa; Chordata; Mammalia; Primates; Hominidae
Description: processed transcript
Source: RNAcentral
UGGCUAUUUUCGUCUUCUGUUCUUAGUUCAGCUUCUAGUUUGGGGAAUGAGAACCUCAACCAGAACCCUCGGACUUUGCUGCCUAAAUUCUAUGGACUGUACUGUGUGCAGGCAGGUGGCAAGAACAUUCGGAUUGUGGUGAUGAACAAUCUUUUACCAAGAUCGGUAAAAAUGCAUAUCAAAUAUGACCUCAAAGGCUCAACCUACAAACGGCGGGCUUCCCAGAAAGAGCGAGAGAAGCCUCUUCCCACAUUUAAAGACCUAGACUUCUUACAAGACAUCCCUGAUGGUCUUUUUUUGGAUGCUGACAUGUACAACGCUCUCUGUAAGACCCUGCAGCGUGACUGUUUGGUGCUGCAGAGCUUCAAGAUAAUGGAUUAUAGCCUCUUGAUGUCAAUCCAUAAUAUAGAUCAUGCACAACGAGAGCCCUUAAGCAGUGAAACACAGUACUCAGUUGAUACUCGAAGACCGGCCCCCCAAAAGGCUCUGUAUUCCACAGCCAUGGAAUCCAUCCAGGGAGAGGCUCGACGGGGUGGUACCA